GACGAACGCUGGCGGCGUGCUUAACACAUGCAAGUCGAACGAAGCGCGAUGGAAGCUUGCUUCUAUCAAUCUUAGUGGCGAACGGGUGAGUAACGCGUAAUCCAACUGCCCUUCAGAGGGGGACACCAGUUGGAAACGACUGCUAAUACCGCAUACGAUCUAAUCUCGGCAUCGAGGAUAGAUGAAAGGUGUCCUCUACAUGUAAGCUAUCACUGCAGGAGGGGAUUGCGUCUGUUUAGUGAGUUGUAGGAGUGACGGCCCACCAAGGCUAGGCGCGGUAGCCGGUCCGAGAGGAUGGACACCCAAGUUGGGACAGAGACACGGCCCAGACUCCUACGGGAGACAGCAGGGGGGAAUCUUCCGCAAUGGACGAAAGUCUGACGAAGCAACGCCGCGUGAGUGAUGACGGCCUUCGGGUUGUAAAGCUCUGUUAGUCGGGACGAAAGGCCUUCUUGCGAAUAGUUAGAAGGAUUGACGGUACCGGAAUAGAAAGCCACGGCUAACUACGUG
RNAcentral lists this ribosomal RNA (510 nucleotides) under uncultured bacterium. RNAcentral describes it as "partial 16S ribosomal RNA". It matches the Rfam family "Bacterial small subunit ribosomal RNA", at positions 28 to 507 of the family's 1533-position model. The record is from RNAcentral.